ACCUGAAUAGAAAAAAGUAGAGAGCGAGAACGCCCGUGUUUAGUCGUGUCGACGUGAUUCGCUUUUGUCUAUUUACAUUACUGGGAUUAAGAGGCCAGUUUCACUAGGCGAUCAAUUAAAUAAAGGGGGGAAUAAUAAGAUUACAUGGUGUAUACAAAUCAUGGGUAGGAGAAUAAUAUAGUUAGGUUGAACUUUUGUGAAACUUUUCUGUCCCUCGAUCGUGUGUGAUCGAUAAUCAUCAUUCAGCGGCAGAUUUUUGGGAAGGAUAGAUACGUAUAUAUGCAAAAUAUAUAUAAAUUGAUAUAUACAUAGGUAUUUAUAUACAUUUUACAUAUAUAGUCUUGAUAUUAUUUUUGGUUAGACGAAGAACAGUCGUCCUUUCUUUCUUUGCUCUGCUACUGGUGCCGCUUUAUUUAUUGGUGGCAAAUGAGACAAGUUCGUUCUACUGAGGCUAGAAAAAGGGAGACAGCUCCAGCGGUGUUCACGAGCAACCUACUUUGAUGUGCCUACGGGUUUCGAAAGAAAAUAUUUUCGGUGGUGAUAAGAUGCCGAUAAGACAUACGGGAAAACCUGGCAGCGUCGAUGAACCGAUUGUGGCCUCGUACCUAUCAAAAAAAAAAAAAGAAAAAAAAGAAAAGAAAAAAGGUAAGUAUAAAAUAAAGCUCUUACUGAAACAUACACUUAGGAAUACGUACAUUGAGGAAAGAAAUAAAGAAAAGGCCAUAAGUAGAUAUAUGGGAAUGAAAAGAAGAAUAACGUUGCACAUGUUACAAUUUACAACGAAG
Long non-coding RNA from Bombus terrestris (buff-tailed bumblebee), 785 nucleotides. RefSeq lists it as uncharacterized. Lineage: Eukaryota; Metazoa; Arthropoda; Insecta; Hymenoptera; Apidae. The record is from RefSeq and is a predicted model, not a curated record. The transcript has 2 exons.